RNAcentral lists this small RNA (127 nucleotides) under Salmonella enterica. Its description in RNAcentral is "partial RtT sRNA". It matches the Rfam family "RtT RNA". From Rfam's summary of the family: This family represents a bacterial cis-regulatory element known as RtT RNA. The record is from RNAcentral. Lineage: Bacteria; Pseudomonadati; Pseudomonadota; Gammaproteobacteria; Enterobacterales; Enterobacteriaceae.
GUUUGCACUUGUCGGGGAAGGGUGAGAACCUUCGAUUAAGGUUCGACUCGAGCGAAAGCGAGAGAACGUUGCCAACGGCAACGGCCCGUAGGGUGAGGAGCGAAGCGACGAAUAAUCCUUCCCCCAC